ACUCCUACGGGAGGCAGCAGUGGGGAAUAUUGCACAAUGGGCGCAAGCCUGAUGCAGCCAUGCCGCGUGUGUGAAGAAGGCCUUCGGGUUGUAAAGCACUUUCAGUCGUGAGGAAGGUAGUGUAGUUAAUAGCUGCAUUAUUUGUACGUUAGCGACAGAAGAAGCACCGGCUAACUCCGUGCCAGCAGCCGCGGUAAUACGGAGGGUGCGAGCGUUAAUCGGAAUUACUGGGCGUAAAGCGCAUGCAGGUGGUUUGUUAAGUCAGAUGUGAAAGCCCGGGGCUCAACCUCGGAAUUGCAUUUGAAACUGGCAGACUAGAGUACUGUAGAGGGGGGUAGAAUUUCAGGUGUAGCGGUGAAAUGCGUAGAGAUCUGAAGGAAUACCGGUGGCGAAGGCGGCCCCCUGGACAGAUACUGACACUCAGAUGCGAAAGCGUGGGGAGCAAACAGGAUUAGAU
This 457-nucleotide ribosomal RNA is filed under the name uncultured bacterium. RNAcentral describes it as "bacterial SSU rRNA". It matches the Rfam family "Bacterial small subunit ribosomal RNA", at positions 335 to 783 of the family's 1533-position model. The record is from RNAcentral.